Molecule: ribosomal RNA, 235 nt
Filed under: uncultured bacterium
Lineage: Bacteria
Description: partial 16S ribosomal RNA
Rfam family: Bacterial small subunit ribosomal RNA
Source: RNAcentral
CGGACGGGUGAGUAACGCGUGGGUAACCUGCCUCAUACAGGGGGAUAACAGUUAGAAAUGACUGCUAAUACCGCAUAAGACCACGGAGCCGCAUGGCUCAGUGGGAAAAACUCCGGUGGUAUGAGAUGGACCCGCGUCUGAUUAGGUAGUUGGUGGGGUAACGGCCUACCAAGGCGACGAUGCGUAGCCGACCUGAGAGGGUGACCGGCCACACUGGGACUGAGACACGGCCCAG